This 27-nucleotide non-coding RNA is filed under the name Mus musculus (house mouse). Lineage: Eukaryota; Metazoa; Chordata; Mammalia; Rodentia; Muridae. The record is from RNAcentral.
UCNGUAACUAGAUGACUCACUUUGAUG